GUCAGGACGAACGCUGGGCGGCGUGCCUAAUACAUGCAAGUCGAGCGGAAUGAUGAAGAAGCUUGCUUCUUCUGAUUUUAGCGGCGGACGGGUGAGUAACACGUGGGCAACCUACCUUGUAGAUUGGGAUAACUCCGGGAAACCGGGGCUAAUACCAAAUAAUCCAUUUUGCUUCAUGGCGAAAUGUUAAAAGGCGGCUUCGGCUGUCACUACGAGAUGGGCCCGCGGCGCAUUAGCUAGUUGGUAGGGUAACGGCCUACCAAGGCGACGAUGCGUAGCCGACCUGAGAGGGUGAUCGGCCACACUGGGACUGAGACACGGCCCAGACUCCUACGGGAGGCAGCAGUAGGGAAUCUUCCACAAUGGACGAAAGUCUGAUGGAGCAACGCCGCGUGAGUGAAGAAGGUUUUCGGAUCGUAAAACUCUGUUGUAAGGGAAGAACACGUACGAGAGUAACUGCUCGUACCU
Molecule: ribosomal RNA, 468 nt
Filed under: Paenisporosarcina macmurdoensis
Lineage: Bacteria; Bacillati; Bacillota; Bacilli; Caryophanales; Caryophanaceae
Description: bacterial SSU rRNA
Rfam family: Bacterial small subunit ribosomal RNA
Source: RNAcentral